AACGCACGAGACCUGCGGACCUGCGGAAGGAUCAUUACCGAGUGAGGGCCCUCUGGGUCCAACCUCCCACCCGUGUUUAUCGUACCUUGUUGCUUCGGCGGGCCCGCUUCACGGCCGCCGGGGGGCACCUGCCCCCGGGCCCGCGCCCGCCGAAGACAUCAUUGAACUCUGUCUGAAGAUUGCAGUCUGAGUAGAUUAGCUAAAUCAGUUAAAACUUUCAACAACGGAUCUCUAGAUCGG
This 240-nucleotide unclassified non-coding RNA is filed under the name soil metagenome. RNAcentral's name for it is "partial contains 5.8S ribosomal RNA, internal transcribed spacer 2, and large subunit ribosomal RNA". The record is from RNAcentral.